RNAcentral lists this ribosomal RNA (1343 nucleotides) under uncultured bacterium. RNAcentral's name for it is "16S ribosomal RNA". It matches the Rfam family "Bacterial small subunit ribosomal RNA", at positions 28 to 1378 of the family's 1533-position model. The record is from RNAcentral.
GACGAACGCUGGCGGCGUGCUUAACACAUGCAAGUCGAACGGAAAGGCCCUGCUUUUGUGGGGUGCUCGAGUGGCGAACGGGUGAGUAACACGUGAGCAACCUGCCCUUGACUUUGGGAUAACUUCAGGAAACUGGGGCUAAUACCGGAUAGGAGCUCCUGCUGCAUGGUGGGGGUUGGAAAGUUUCGGCGGUUGGGGAUGGACUCGCGGCUUAUCAGCUUGUUGGUGGGGUAGUGGCUUACCAAGGCUUUGACGGGUAGCCGGCCUGAGAGGGUGACCGGCCACAUUGGGACUGAGAUACGGCCCAGACUCCUACGGGAGGCAGCAGUGGGGAAUAUUGCACAAUGGGCGGAAGCCUGAUGCAGCAACGCCGCGUGCGGGAUGACGGCCUUCGGGUUGUAAACCGCUUUCGCCUGUGACGAAGCGUGAGUGACGGUAAUGGGUAAAGAAGCACCGGCUAACUACGUGCCAGCAGCCGCGGUGAUACGUAGGGUGCGAGCGUUGUCCGGAUUUAUUGGGCGUAAAGGGCUCGUAGGUGGUUGAUCGCGUCGGAAGUGUAAUCUUGGGGCUUAACCCUGAGCGUGCUUUCGAUACGGGUUGACUUGAGGAAGGUAGGGGAGAAUGGAAUUCCUGGUGGAGCGGUGGAAUGCGCAGAUAUCAGGAGGAACACCAGUGGCGAAGGCGGUUCUCUGGGCCUUUCCUGACGCUGAGGAGCGAAAGCGUGGGGAGCGAACAGGCUUAGAUACCCUGGUAGUCCACGCUGUAAACGGUGGGUACUAGGUGUGGGGUCCAUUCCACGGGUUCCGUGCCGUAGCUAACGCUUUAAGUACCCCGCCUGGGGAGUACGGCCGCAAGGCUAAAACUCAAAGGAAUUGACGGGGCCCCGCACAAGCGGCGGAGCAUGCGGAUUAAUUCGAUGCAACGCGUAGAACCUUACCUGGGUUUGACAUGGAUCGGGAGUGCUCAGAGAUGGGUGUGCCUCUUUUGGGGUCGGUUCACAGGUGGUGCAUGGCUGUCGUCAGCUCGUGUCGUGAGAUGUUGGGUUAAGUCCCGCAACGAGCGCAACCCUUGUUCACUGUUGCCAGCACGUUAUGGUGGGGACUCAGUGGAGACCGCCGGGGUCAACUCGGAGGAAGGUGGGGAUGACGUCAAGUCAUCAUGCCCCUUAUGUCCAGGGCUUCACGCAUGCUACAAUGGCUGGUACAGAGAGUGGCGAGCCUGUGAGGGUGAGCGAAUCUCGGAAAGCCGGUCUCAGUUCGGAUUGGGGUCUGCAACUCGACCUCAUGAAGUCGGAGUCGCUAGUAAUCGCAAAUCAGCAACGCUGCGGUGAAUACGUUCCCGGG